Long non-coding RNA from Mauremys reevesii (Reeves's turtle), 509 nucleotides. RefSeq lists it as uncharacterized. The record is from RefSeq and is a predicted model, not a curated record. Lineage: Eukaryota; Metazoa; Chordata; Testudines; Geoemydidae. The transcript is spliced from 3 exons.
UCCUGGCAAAAACACCCAGGAGAGAGCCAGGGCCGUCCAGACCAGCGCGGCCCUGCUCCAGUUUGCUACCUCCCUGCCUGGAUUUGACACCUCCUCCACCUUCUCCAAGGCAGGUGAAUUUGUGCUGCAGCUGGGUCUCUGUGCAUACCACCCAGCCAGUGACAUCAGUCGGCAUGCCAAGGGUGGGAUCAAUUGGCUGCACAAGCUCCUGCUCCAGAAGAGGGGGCUCAAGACCAGGAAGGCAGCAGACCUGUGGUGCCAGGACGGGCUCCAUGACCCCAAGUGCCUGGGAUAUAGAAAUCUGGCCAGGGUGGGAGAGGUAAGGACUCUCCGCCGGUGCAUUGCAGCAGCUCAGGUGUGGAGCUGUGUCCCGCUGCAGUGAGUGUGUCAUGGACACAGGGCAAGAGCCUGCUCCUUAUUUCCACAGAGUAUGUGAGGCUCCUGGGAAUGUCCGUGGGGUGAGGCGUGGGAAUGAUCCAGAUCUAAAAGACCCCGAACCUCUAGUGGGU